Molecule: ribosomal RNA, 492 nt
Filed under: uncultured bacterium
Lineage: Bacteria
Description: partial 16S ribosomal RNA
Rfam family: Bacterial small subunit ribosomal RNA
Source: RNAcentral
AUUGAACGCUGGCGGCAUGCUUUACACAUGCAAGUCGAACGGUAACAGGCCUUCGGGUGCUGACGAGUGGCGAACGGGUGAGUAAUGCAUCGGAACGUGCCCAGAGGUGGGGGAUAACGCAGCGAAAGCUGUGCUAAUACCGCAUGUGAUCUGAGGAUGAAAGCGGGGGACCAGGCAGCAAUGUUUGGCCUCGCGCCUUUGGAGCGGCCGAUGUCAGAUUAGGUAGUUGGUGGGGUAAAGGCCUACCAAGCCGACGAUCUGUAGCUGGUCUGAGAGGACGACAAGCCACACUGGGACUGAGACACGGCCCAGACUCCUACGGGAGGCAGCAGUGGGGAAUUUUGUACAAUGGGCGCAAGCCUGAUCCAGCAAUGCCGCGUGCGGGAAGAAGGCCUUCGGGUUGUAAACCGCUUUUGUACGGAACGAAAAGGCUCUGGCUAAUACCUGGGGCUGAUGACGGUACCGGAAGAAUAAGCACCGGCUAACUACGUG